GACGAACGCUGGCGGCGUGCUUAACACAUGCCAGUCGAACGGAAAGGCCCCUUUGGGGGUACUCGAGUGGCGAACGGGUGAGUAACACGUGAGUAACCUGCCCUUGACUUCGGGAUAACUUCAGGAAACUGGGGCUAAUACCGGAUAGGAAUCCUUGCUGCAUGGUGGGGGUUGGAAAGCUUCGGCGGGUUUGGAUGGACUCGCGGCUUAUCAGCUUGUUGGUGGGGUAGUGGCUUACCAAGGCUUUGACGGGUAGCCGGCCUGAGAGGGCGACCGGCCACAUUGGGACUGAGAGACGGCCCAGACUCCUACGGGAGGCAGCAGUGGGGAAUAUUGCACAAGGGGCGGAAGCCUGAUGCAGCAACGCCGCGUGCGGGAGGACGGCCUUCGGGUUGUAAACCGCUUUCAGCAGGGGCGAAGCUUGUGGUGACGGUACCUGCAGAAGAAGCACCGGCUAACUACGUG
RNAcentral lists this ribosomal RNA (465 nucleotides) under uncultured bacterium. Its description in RNAcentral is "partial 16S ribosomal RNA". It matches the Rfam family "Bacterial small subunit ribosomal RNA", at positions 28 to 507 of the family's 1533-position model. The record is from RNAcentral.